AGCGACGCCGCGUGGGGGAAGAAGGCUUUCGGGUUGUAAACCCCUUUUCUUGGUGAAGAGGAAGGACGGUAGCCAAGGAAGAAGCCUCGGCUAACUACGUGCCAGCAGCCGCGGUAAUACGUAGGAGGCGAGCGUUAUCCGGAAUUACUGGGCGUAAAGGGCGUGUAGGCGGUCCCUUAAGUUGGUGGUGAAAUCUCCCGGCUCAACCGGGAGGGGUCUGCCAAAACUGAGGGGCUUGAGGGCAGCAGAGGAAGGUGGAAUUCCCGGUGUAGCGGUGAUAUGCGUAGAUAUCGGGAGGAACACCAGUGGCGAAGGCGGCCUUCUGGGCUGUCCCUGACGCUGAGGCGCGAAAGCGUGGGGAGCGAAGCGGAUUAGAUACCCGCGUAGUCCACGCCCUAAACGGUGGACACCAGGUAUAGAGGGUGUCGACCCCCUCUGUGCCGAAGCUAACGCUUUAAGUGUCCCGC
This 467-nucleotide ribosomal RNA is filed under the name uncultured bacterium. RNAcentral describes it as "bacterial SSU rRNA". It matches the Rfam family "Bacterial small subunit ribosomal RNA", at positions 390 to 872 of the family's 1533-position model. The record is from RNAcentral.